Molecule: long non-coding RNA, 915 nt
Filed under: Equus caballus (horse)
Lineage: Eukaryota; Metazoa; Chordata; Mammalia; Perissodactyla; Equidae
Description: lncRNA (ENSECAG00000053462.1)
Source: RNAcentral
GAAUCAUUCUUCUCCUCUUGCCGCUCCCUUUUGUCUUCUUCAGCCCAUGCCUCCGGUUUCAGAAAUUAGUUUGUUUAUUCUUCUAGCUUUGAGGAAUAGAUAGACAUAUCCCUCCAACGAGCCUUUGACAGAGGUGCCAAUCAGCACAGCCUGAAAGGGAACAAGGAGGGAUGGAAGACUCAGAGGGAGGAAAAGGAAACAUGGGAAAAAAAGGUUAUCGGGACAGGUAAAACUAUCUGUGGCUACAGAGUGAGAUAUUUGACAUUUGAAAAAAGGCUAAGCAGAGAGUGGGAGCUGUCUAAAACUUUGUUGACCAGAUCAUCUCAGAAGAGUUUGGCAGAGCCAAGAAGUAAAAACUUGUAGAGACAUGGGUGAGUCAUUGAGUACAAAGGGGGAAAGGCAAGCAGAGUAAGGGGUGAGGAGAGGAACAAGGAUGGUUGCCCUUUCUCCUAAACCCCAGAUGUGUUAUAUGGUUUGCAGAAAGGGACAUAAUUAUUUUCCUCCCUGAACUCAUGACCCUUUGCAAUGUAAUUUUGCAGCUCCUCCCAUGAAGAGAUGGUGCCUGUUUUCCUGCCCCUUGUAUUGACUAGACUUGUGACUUGUUUGGCCAACAGCAUCCAAGGGAAGUACAUUCCGUCAGUUUUGAGCUUGGGCCUCAAGAGGCCUUGCACACUUCUGCUCUAACUCUUAAAACACUGUGGAGCUCCUUAAGGAAAAGUCUAGGCCAGCCUCCUGGAUGAUGAUGGCCCCAGAGCUUCUGCUGACAGCCAGUCAACCCCAGACAUAAAGGCAUCUAGCUAAGACACAGCAUGAAUGAGCUCAGCCAAGAACAGAAAGACAACUCAGCUGAACCAAGCCCAAACUGCUGACCAGUCCACAGAACUGUGAACUAAAUAAAUGGCUACUGUUUUAAGC